This 585-nucleotide ribosomal RNA is filed under the name uncultured bacterium. RNAcentral describes it as "partial 16S ribosomal RNA". It matches the Rfam family "Bacterial small subunit ribosomal RNA", at positions 355 to 1375 of the family's 1533-position model. The record is from RNAcentral.
UGGGGAAUUUUGGACAAUGGGCGAAAGCCUGAUCCAGCAAUGCCGCGUGUGUGAAGAAGGCCUUCGGGUUGUAAAGCACUUUUGUCCGGAAAGAAAUCCUUGGCUCUAAUACAGUCGGGGGAUGACGGUACCGGAAGAAUAAGCACCGGCUAACUACGUGCCAGCAGCCGCGGUAAUACGUAGGGUGCAAGCGUUAAUCGGAAUUACUGGGCGUAAAGCGUGCGCAGGCGGUUUGCUAAGACCGAUGUGAAAUCCCCGGGCUCAACCUGGGAACUGCAUUGGUGACUGGCAGGCUAGAGUAUGGCAGAGGGGGGUAGAAUUCCACGUGUAGCAGUGAAAUGCGUAGAGAUGUGGAGGAAUACCGAUGGCGAAGGCAGCCCCCUGGGCCAAUACUGACGCUCAUGCACGAAAGCGUGGGGAGCAAACAGGAUUAGAUACCCUGGUAGUCCACGCCCUAAACGAUGCCAACUAGUUGUUGGGGAUUCAUUUCCUUAGUAACGUAGCUAACGCGUGAAGUUGACCGCCUGGGGAGUACGGUCGCAAGAUUAAAACUUAAAGGAAUUGACGGGGUCAUAGCUGUUUCCU